AACGAACGCUGGCGGCGCGCCUAAUACAUGCAAGUCGAGCGAGAAGACGUAGCAAUACGUUUGUAAAGCGGCGAACGGGUGAGGAAUACAUGGGUAACCUACCCUCGAGUGGGGAAUAACUAGCCGAAAGGUUAGCUAAUACCGCGUACGCUCCUUGGACUUCGGUUCAGGGAGGAAAGCGAUACCGUGGGUAUCGCGCUCUUGGAUGGGCUCAUGUCCUAUCAGCUUGUUGGGAGGUAACGGCUCACCAAGGCUUCGACGGGUAGCUGGUCUGAGAGGACGAUCAGCCACACUGGCACUGCGACACGGGCCAGACUCCUACGGGAGGCAGCAGUAAGGAAUAUUGCGCAAUGGGCAAAGCCUGACGCAGCGACGCCGCGUGGGGGA
RNAcentral lists this ribosomal RNA (387 nucleotides) under uncultured bacterium. RNAcentral's name for it is "bacterial SSU rRNA". It matches the Rfam family "Bacterial small subunit ribosomal RNA", at positions 29 to 408 of the family's 1533-position model. The record is from RNAcentral.